Molecule: long non-coding RNA, 701 nt
Filed under: Coturnix japonica (Japanese quail)
Lineage: Eukaryota; Metazoa; Chordata; Aves; Galliformes; Phasianidae
Description: lncRNA (ENSCJPG00005007611.1)
Source: RNAcentral
CCCUGCCCUCACGGCCAGGCGGGCGAGGACGGAAGGACAGCGCGAGUGAGAGCAGCCUUGAGGGAGGGCGAGAAGGACAGGCGGCGUGACAGCGGCCGGCUGAGCGCUGCAGCGGAGCAUUCGGCAGCGAGGACGAGCGAGCCCCGCGGCCCGGCUGUGGCAGCAUCCCCUCAGCAGCAGUUUGAGGAGCAGAGUCGGCACGGUCUGGAUGCGUCUGCGUGGAGUCAGAAAGCCAACCUGGUUGGAAUGGACAUGCGACUCCUACUUCUAUGUGAGAUUGCCCUGACUUCAACUGUUCAAGAAGAGAGCUGCAUCCAAGCACUUUGUGAAGUGUGUCGGCCCUGGGCUGUGACUGCUGCCUCAAGGAAGCCUGUUCUGAUAUCUCAGCCUUCCUUAGAGUGAGCUUUUUCUUCAUUUCCAACCUGUACCUCCUUUGACCUAAGAAACAAAAGCUGCCUGGGAAAAGAAGGAAACCCCACCUUGCAAAUGCUCCCUUUCAGCUAAGUUGAAUGGAAGGAGUUUGAGCCCUUCUUUGGAUGCUGCCUGAGAGCAUUAUUGUUGUCUUUUAAUUAUGUUCUGUUAAUAUAACAGCCAUUUAUUGACUUAAUGUAUUAGACAGCUGAGGUUAAUGGAUGUAUUGUUGUAUUGUUCUAAUAGUGGAAUGGAAUAAAACCUGUUGAAUUACCCUGAACUUGAAGAGU